UAGGGAAUAUUGGACAAUGGGCGAAAGCCUGAUCCAGCGACGCCGCGUGAGGGACGAAGGCCUUCGGGUUGUAAACCUCUGUUGCGGGGAAAGAAGCCUGGUGCAUAACCAGGUGACGGUACCUCGCCAGAAAGCCCCGGCUAACUACGUGCCAGCAGCCGCGGUGAGACGUAGGGGGCGAGCGUUGUCCGGAUUCACUGGGCGUAAAGGGCGUGUAGGCGGUUACGUAAGUCCGGCGUGAAAACCCACGGCUCAACCGUGGACCUGCGUCGGAGACUGCGUUGACUAGAGGACGGUAGAGGCAGGUGGAACUAGCGGUGUAGCGGUGAAAUGCGCAGAUAUCGCUAGGAACGCCGGUGGCGAAGGCGAUCUGCUGGGCCGAUCCUGACGCUGAGGCGCGAAAGCUAGGGGAGCGAACCGG
This 421-nucleotide ribosomal RNA is filed under the name uncultured bacterium. Its description in RNAcentral is "bacterial SSU rRNA". It matches the Rfam family "Bacterial small subunit ribosomal RNA", at positions 355 to 776 of the family's 1533-position model. The record is from RNAcentral.